GGUGUGCAACAUAUGUGGUGUGUGGCUCCAGAGUCAAUAAUCCAGCAUUUAGAGGUAAGUGUGUGUGUGAAACUGAAAAGGCAGAAGGGUAUGGAUGAUAUACCUACCGCGUGAAGGCCAGAAGUGGCGUUAUUGGUGGGAGGAGAGAAGCUGUCCGACGAGAUGUUGGAGUGCGGUUGGUGAAGCCGUGUGCUUAGGUGGGCAAUAAUGUUUUGAAUUUGCGAUGUGCUCCUAGCAUCGACCGAGGCAGCAGAAUCAAGUGUCGGUAAGCAGGCAACGAUGGAGAUGAAUUUUUGCACCUAUCGCACAGUCGGGUGCGUGCCCGAGGAAGAAGAAGAAUUGUGCUCUGGAGAAGCCUGUUCGUGGGCCAAGACCUGGUGGGCAGAAGAGAAAACGGGCCUGGACUCAGAGCCUGAUGGAUUAAGUGAUUUGGUUCCAGGAGUGGGCCGAGACUAAGAUGAAUUGCGGGCUUGGGCUUGGGCUUGAGGCCCUAUGGGUACCCAUGUAAGCAGUAACACCUGUCCACAGUGUGGCCCCCGAGCCCACAAUGUGAACAGGUGGGUCGUCUUCGACCUUGGGUUAGGGCAACGAAAGAACCAGACCCCGCAGCCACCUCUGCGCACGCGUCGAAGCCGAUCGCAUGGUGCCGUUCUUCUUGCACCACCAGCGAGAAAGCCUUUAAAAUGGAUGGCGAACAUUCCAUCAUCAGGAUUUGAGCCCUAACAACAGCGUAGGAAGGAUUCAAACCUAUCAAAAAAAUCAUCACAAACUCCUGCUCCUGAUAAUCAUUCCAUGCCUUCAUGUUUCCACAAUGACAGGUUGGAGCUGGUUGGUAAGUUUUGAGCUCGUCCCAGAUUGUUUUCACCCGCGUAUAAUAGGCGUUGACGCUGAG
RNAcentral lists this long non-coding RNA (892 nucleotides) under Carica papaya (papaya). RNAcentral describes it as "long non-coding RNA (CPAP_LNC000336)". Lineage: Eukaryota; Viridiplantae; Streptophyta; Magnoliopsida; Brassicales; Caricaceae. The record is from RNAcentral.